UCCCUGGUGGUCCAGUGGUUAAGACUCCAAGCUUCCAAUGCAAGAGGCCCUGGUUCAAUCCCUGGCCAGGGAA
Molecule: transfer RNA, 73 nt
Filed under: Ovis aries (sheep)
Lineage: Eukaryota; Metazoa; Chordata; Mammalia; Artiodactyla; Bovidae
Rfam family: tRNA
About the family: Transfer RNA (tRNA) molecules are approximately 80 nucleotides in length. Their secondary structure includes four short double-helical elements and three loops (D, anti-codon, and T loops).
Source: Rfam by way of RNAcentral